UUAAACUUUUUCUUUUUGGGAUAAAUGUCACUUCCUUGUACAAGAAGGUUCCCAUUUCCAGCCUAGAUAAUUGUAAACUAGACCUUCUUUUGUUCAACUCCUGAGAAUUCAUGGAAGCAUGCAUAUAAUUCACAUAUAACUUUAAUCCAAUAUUUCAUUUUUGCAAUGUCAAAUGCCAAUUUGACUUGCUAAAAAAUAUAAACAACCUCAAAAACAAAAGGAAAAAAAAAAAAAAAAAAACUCUCCCAAAAAUCCUAGGAUUUAUUCCAUGGAAAUUUUGUUAAUUUCGGUAAUAAUAAAUCAGUAAUACCCAAAUGGUACAAUAAAAUUUUCAACUUGAUUGAAUUGAUUGUUAGAAAAAUCUAUACAUGCAAAAAAAAUAAUGAGGGAAAAAAGAAAAUUAAAAAAAAAAGAAGAAAAAGAAAAAUAAAAAAGGGCAAAAAGAAAUUAAAAUUUGUGGUUUUAUAUUGCAAACGUGGAAAGGUUGAAAGCAAAUUGGGGUUUGGGAGUCCAAUAAAGACGACGGAACAGCAACCAGACACACUUGGGAGUGAAGCAGAGCUGAGUCCAAGGGUGGUUCGCCGAGCAAAAGGGCCAAGAAUUUCACGGAUAAAGCUUCGGGAGAUUUUGUGGAAGGUUUAGCUCCACGAUUCUUUUCGAAUGAAUAAGUAUUAUUGGAAGAGUAAGACAAUAUUAUCUCUUUAUAGUAUCCAAUCAUUCAUAUUUGAACAACAUUCCUAAAUUGUAAGUUGUCCAAAUGCGUUUUGCAUUUGGCUUACUUAGCUUUGUGAGCAUGGUGGAUGAAUGGUGUCCAUUUUAGGAGACAUGCCGACAUUUAGUGGUUGGUCAUAUUUAUGUAUAUAAAUUGGUGGCAGAUUUUUACCAUUUUGCUACAUUGCAGAAAUGAAGGUUGGGAAGGGGGAAUGUAAUGAGAUCUGGUAUGGGUGGGUGAGAUGUGUUUUCUUGUUUCUUUAAUUAGGGAGUUGGUGUGUGGGUGAUGAAAUGACAAACGGUAUGAAAUGAAUUUGAGGGAAGAGUAGGGAUUUAAGUUUGGCCUCAUUCUAAUGAAGUGCCUGUAAUUUUCUUCAUUUGUUGUAUAUAGCUUUCGGUCUUUCAUGUAUAUUAAAUUUGGGCAGGUAAAGAUGGAGUUUUUA
Ziziphus jujuba (common jujube) is the source of this 1154-nucleotide long non-coding RNA. RefSeq lists it as uncharacterized. The record is from RefSeq and is a predicted model, not a curated record. The transcript has 2 exons. Lineage: Eukaryota; Viridiplantae; Streptophyta; Magnoliopsida; Rosales; Rhamnaceae.